Molecule: ribosomal RNA, 470 nt
Filed under: Acinetobacter baumannii
Lineage: Bacteria; Pseudomonadati; Pseudomonadota; Gammaproteobacteria; Moraxellales; Moraxellaceae
Description: partial 23S ribosomal RNA
Rfam family: Bacterial large subunit ribosomal RNA
Source: RNAcentral
GGGUUGUGAGGUUAAGCGACUAAGCGUACACGGUGGAUGCCCUGGCAGUCAGAGGCGAUGAAGGACGUGCUAAUCUGCGAAAAGCGUCGGUAAGGUGAUAUGAACCGUUAUAACCGGCGAUGUCCGAAUGGGGAAACCCAGUGCAAUUCGUUGCACUAUCGUUAACUGAAUACAUAGGUUAACGAGGCGAACCGGGGGAACUGAAACAUCUAAGUACCCCGAGGAAAAGAAAUCAACCGAGAUUCCCCCAGUAGCGGCGAGCGAACGGGGAGCAGCCCAGAGUCUGAAUCAGCUUGUGUGUUAGUGGAACGGUCUGGAAAGUCCGACGGUACAGGGUGAUAGUCCCGUACACCAAAAUGCACAGGUUGUGAACUCGAAGAGUAGGGCGGGACACGUGGUAUCCUGUCUGAAUAUGGGGGGACCAUCCUCCAAGGCUAAAUACUCCUGACUGACCGAUAGUGAACCAGUAC